GGUCUUCUCCCGAAUCGUCUACCUCUGCAAAAAACAACUUUUCUCAAUUUUUUUCAGCUUUCCUCCUUCUCUCCUUACUCACUAUAUAAGAUGGUGGUUGAUUCACGAAAAAUUUCUCUCACUAAAACCACCAGAUCUCUUCAUCGCCUCCGGAGAAAACGAGUAGUUAGUAACGGCGUUCGGUUUUGGAUCCAUCACUUUACCUCUGUAUACAGUUUACUGUAAAAAUAAAUUACUUCAUAUUUGGUGAGUCACUGAACGCCUUACUCCUGGUACAUACAAAACAUUACUUAACUUUUGUACACUUUUCUUUGAAAAGUGUUCUUGGGAGUUGUCUGUGAUUUCUUUUUCUUUUAUAUUUUUAUCAUAUUGUGAGGGAGAUGGAGGACUUCGAGUUCCAUCACUGGUGGAGCUUACGGUUAAAGUUUGGUUCAUGAUUUCACUUCCUCUGUUUCAGAUCUUUGGUUUCGUAACUGGUGAAAGCUCUUGAUCUGGUGUUUAAUUAGGUUGUUGGAGGUUUAAAAGGAGGAGAUGACGCUUUACAGGAGAAGAUUUGUCAUCUAUUUUUUCAGGUUUUGUAAUUCUUAAUCUCUGUUUUGAUGAUAAAACAAUCCAAAACCGAAUUUGAGCAUUUCAGUUUGUUUGCUUUGUUUCUUUUACAAAAGUUGUGAUCUUUUGUAGAGUUUGUUAUACUUAUAGCUUUAAAGUUUUGGGUCUCUAAUUUAAAAACUAUUGACCUCUAAACUCAUCAGAAUCAUACCGAUUGUUUCUUUUUCCUUCCUCUUACGCUUACAUUUUCUAUUGUUAUGUGUUUCAAGGACCAACGGAAAAUGGGCAAAUUGAUGUUCACUUUCAGGAUCUGCAUAGCGCAAGAACAACGUUCGAGCAGGCCCGGUUUCAUUUGGUCAUCACUUUUUCUUCUUAUGCUAUGAGAAUUUCCAAGAUAUUUCCUUUGCUUCAAUCUGCGAGUCAACACCAUCACAUGUAGCGUAACAUGAGUUAUCCUUGGUAUCGUCCCGUUAUCUAUAUCCUGAAUAGAAACUAAAUGAGGAUCAUGGUGUGUAUUGCCUCUCUCUCUCUCUCAAAUACUUGAAACAUAAAUCUUUAGCUCAUUCAAGUCGAAGGCUUUAUCUAGAGUUCCCUAAAUGAGCUCUUGCUACAAUAUAUGUACAGUUAUAUCGUUUUUGUUAACGGCUUAUGUUCAAACAUCCAUGCGGCAGAUUUUCCUCUUCCAUGUUGUUCUCAUAAGAAAGAUGAAAUCUUCGAUUUCUAUUCGCCUGAAAGCCCAAAACAAACGUUGAUCUCGAAGUUUAUGUGCAGCAGAUGAGAAUCAGCAGGGACUAUCCAUAAAGAUAGAAGGAGAUGGGCGUUCAACUUCUUCCACGCUGAUCAACAAGAAACCAGGUUUCUAUGGAAGCAUAAACCCACGGAAGCUUAUCACUUUAAGCUGAUAUGGAUGAAUGCAGACCUCUGUGUAAGACGACAUAUCAUUUGAUGUGUUGUGUUAUCAGAUCGGGAGUACACUCAUUGCAGUCACUCAACUUCUCUUUGUUGAGCGUUCUAGAAUUGUUUUGGGCCCUAUGCUAACUUUUAUUGGCUGUAGUGGUUGAAGAUUUAGAGGAUGGGGAUCAUACUUCUCAGCCAAAGGACAAAGUUGUGACAUGGAACCUGCCAUUUCGAAGUGAUACCUCAUAUUUGGUCCAGUCUACAACAUAAGCUUACGUGGAAGAUUUCAACAUUCAAAUAUUGAGCUGUGUUAGUGAUUCUGAUUAGAUGUAGAAAAACAUUGUAGAGAAGUAUGGAGUUAGGUACUCGAGGCUGAGAUACUUACAUGAUGCAAAAGAUGUUAUCAUAAGCCAUGGGGCGGAUCUCAUCUCAGGUAUUAUUCCAUGAUCUCCACUAAACGAAAUCUGAUGCGUAACGGAAGGAAUCAGAGGACAACAAGGCCAGUGGUGGAUCUGAUGAGAGAUUUUUCGUAUAGCCAUAUACAGAGCGGGUGGGAUAUGAACCAGUAGCUGUAAUGUUUUGCAUUAUCCUUGCAUUAUCAGUAAAUGACGAUUAGAAGUUACAGCUACUUGCCUUUUUCUUCUACAGUUAAGUUUAUAGUUGUUUUAACGUACAAGAUAAAUUGGAAGAGUAGACGUGGCCGUUGAUAAUUCUGUAGUAGAGUCUUAGGUGUAUCUCUUUAGUUUGAGGGUUAGAUUCAGUAGCAGCUAUGUGCCAUCUUUUGGUUGUAUCUGGUGAAGCUGAAGUUCUUGGUGGGAAUAUGAAAAAGCAGAUAAUGGAUGAGUCUGAGAAUUUGAGUUUGAACUGACUGGUGCCGCCUCAUCCUCCACCGCUUCCAGCAUCUCCAGGAUAUGAAUCAAGAGAGGUUGAGGGAGACAGCAUAACCUAAAAACAGAUCAACAAGUUCCCUCAUCCUCUUUGCUGCUAUUGAGGCUGCAGCUCAGAGGCCUAAUCUCCUUCUUGGUUUUGACAAUUCUUGUGAAGGUUUUAUAUCACUGAGGAGGAAAAUCAACAUUUUCUCGAGUUUUUAUAAUCUUCUGCUAUAGAUUGGAUAGAACCUCUUUAGAUCAAACUAAUUAUGAAGGUCGAUAUCAAUAUCUAUUGGUGUCUAUUGGAGAUUCAAAUUUUUAUGUACGGUUACAAUAAUAUGAGUUUAACUUUCAAGUCUA
Molecule: long non-coding RNA, 2675 nt
Organism: Brassica napus (rape)
Lineage: Eukaryota; Viridiplantae; Streptophyta; Magnoliopsida; Brassicales; Brassicaceae
Exons: 6
Source: RefSeq, a predicted model, not a curated record